CCCCGCGGCCCGCAGCGCGGCAGAGGCGGGAAAGCAGCGCGCCUGCGCCGUGGGAACCGGGGCCGGAGGCGAAAAGCGGGGAGCGGAGGGGGCCGUUGGAGCCGAGUAGCGUACAGAGCGGCGUGUGACGCGGGGACGCCGCGCGCUCCCAACGUCGCCCCGGUUUGACGCACACGGCACCAAACUGUCUGUCUGAUUCCCUGGCCUUUGUGUCCCUGGGAGCUUUAUCUCUGCCAGAGGAAAAGCAGGUGUGCUCCACUUCUCCCGGGAACCUGAAGAUGAGUUGUCCCAGACCCUUCUCAGUGAUUGGAGACUUAGGUGGUGGAGCUAAAGGUUUCUCGUUACGAGACUUCCACAGACGACUUUCGUGUUGGGAUCCAUCCAUGGUUUAGCGACAUUAGUGGAAAACUUUUCUUGAACUGCCUGAGUAAUUAAUACUGACAUAAACUUAGUCGUCAUAAAACUUUCAUGUUUAGACUUUCAGAUGUUUUUGUUUUUGUUUUGUUGUUGGGUCAUUGAGAAGUAUUCCACAAGGGGGUAAACGCAAUGGGGGCCUAAAUGAUGGUCCUGUUUUGUAUACAAGUCAAUAAUUACAACAGAAAAAUACCAAAACACCGUCAUCAUCUCUUCUGGCCGGUUCUGACUAAUGCCAGGCUUGUUGCAUCUGGAUGAUAGAUUAGAUUUGCCUUAAUAGUAUAUUGCUUCUCUGCAGUAGUUUAGUCACAUUUCUUUGGUCCAAGAAGAAGGAAAGCGUUUUCAAAAAAAAUAAGACAACUCCAGUUACUCAAAGCAAGGAAACCUGCUGUUUGUCUUCAGUGUCAUGUGUAAGUAUCCAGGAAAUGUGAUGGCAGUAGUCACGCCUUGGUAGCUUUGGUGAGGAAAAAAAUUAGUUUUUAUGAGGUGGUUAUAAUUUACUUUAGACACCAUAAUAGACGAAACAUGAAGGCUCGAUCACUGUUGGUGCAGUGGAAACUUUAGAAUUCUAACAUAACUUGAAGGGACCCUGCACUUAGGGCUGCACCAUACUUUGUAUAUGGUGUGAACUAAUAUUUGAAGUACAGCAAUUGGAAACAACUACUGUUUUGACCAGGUCACAUUAACAGAGUAAAUUAUGUGAUUGAAGGGAUAAACACAUUUAGAUCGUUGACUUUAGAUGUCUGUCCAAAUUAAAAUUUGGGUUUUUUAAUAUGACUUAAAGCUUUCAUUUUCCUCGCUUCUUUCAGUCGUAUGUUUUCCACACCCCCCCCCCCCCCCCCCCCGCUUAGCUUUCCUUCUUCUAAUAGAAGAAUAGAACAAUCUUAACUGUAUUAAAAGAAUAGGAGAUGCAUUGACAUGGGCAAAAUGUAUUACUGAGUCAUGCAGUUUUAGAGUGGAAGGAAUCUCGGAGCAGCUAGUUAUAUCCACUGUUUAAGAUCUAUUUAGGGCCAGAUAUGAUUGAGUUCAUGGAUAAUGGAAAAUUGUCUUUUCAGUUUCUACCCCCUUGCUCCUUUCAUUGGUCACAUUGCUGGGAUGAGAAGAUGACUCUCUGUAACUAAUAAUGGUAAAAAAAUAAAAUGUGAGAGUGUUUGAAAGUAUCUGUGAGA
Molecule: long non-coding RNA, 1583 nt
Filed under: Canis lupus dingo (dingo)
Lineage: Eukaryota; Metazoa; Chordata; Mammalia; Carnivora; Canidae
Description: lncRNA (ENSCAFG00020013602.1)
Source: RNAcentral